UACGGAGGGAGCUAGCGUUGUUCGGAAUUACUGGGCGUAAAGAGUACGUAGGCGGUUAUUCAAGUCAGAGGUGAAAGCCCGGGGCUCAACCCCGGAACUGCCUUUGAAACUAGAUAGCUAGAAUCUUGGAGAGGUCAGUGGAAUUCCGAGUGUAGAGGUGAAAUUCGUAGAUAUUCGGAAGAACACCAGUGGCGAAGGCGACUGACUGGACAAGUAUUGACGCUGAGGUACGAAAGCGUGGGGAGCAAACAGGAUUAGAUACCCGGGUAGUCC
This 273-nucleotide ribosomal RNA is filed under the name uncultured bacterium. RNAcentral's name for it is "partial 16S ribosomal RNA". It matches the Rfam family "Bacterial small subunit ribosomal RNA", at positions 524 to 796 of the family's 1533-position model. The record is from RNAcentral.